Molecule: long non-coding RNA, 2054 nt
Filed under: Equus caballus (horse)
Lineage: Eukaryota; Metazoa; Chordata; Mammalia; Perissodactyla; Equidae
Description: lncRNA (ENSECAG00000057159.1)
Source: RNAcentral
AUUUUUCAGCAGACUGAGUCUGAAAGCCUCUCAGAAGGGGUUAUUUGGUGAAACUUGGUUUAAGUAAAAAUAAAAUGUUCAUAACCUAUCAAACUCAAUUUUUUCCCAAUAUUCACCAACAUCCAGGGACUUUUAAAUGGUUCUCUUUGCCUCGUUUACUCUGCAAAUAUAUAGUGAGCACUUACUCCAUAUCAGGCACAGCAUACGCACGUUCAGAAAAAUCGAGGCCAGGGGAAGAAGAGAGAAAAAUCUCUUUUUGCAAUAUUUAGACUACAGCUACAGAUGUCAGAUAAAUCUGCUUAAAAUUGUCUUCUUUUAAUUAAUUCAUCAUUAAAAAUUUCAUACUGAUGUUUUCUAAGUUAGUGACUAGAGCUUUUUAUUAAUUUAUUUGAAAUGCUUUAUGUGUUUAAUGUCUAAUGAGAUUUCAAGCAAUCACACCAGCCAGAUGAUAUUUUUCAGUUUGUCAUUACUUUAUCAAAGAAACACAGUCUUUGCUCUUUUGUAAAAACUUCUGCAUUCCCACAACCUUCAGGAUAAGAAAAAUGGAUUACGGGCCAGGCAAAAUUUGACCAUUAAGCGUCCUUCAAGGAAUCCACAAGAUGCUGCAAAGAACAUAUCUUAAUGGUGUGAUGAGUCCUUAAACACUUUCUUCAGUUUCUUCUCUGACCUUUUCAGAUUGUGAUAAAUUCUGAUGGUUUAUAUAUUUUUUUUUACAAGGAGACAUUUCCAUCCGGAGAAAAAUAAGCAAGAAGGAAGAUAAUUGACUCGAAGAAGAAAUCUUUCAUCAAAACCUGCAAAUGUGUUGUGGCAAGGAUAACUCAGAUAAACUGACAUGCCACACAGAAGAGGUUAUAUGACAGCUUCCAAACGCAAAACAAAUGUCAAAAAUGGCUGAGCCAAAAUGUUAAAUUGUCAAGGGAACGAUUUUGCUCUACGCAUUUUAACCACGGGGAAAGCAAGUGCUUCAACAAUCACUGGUUGAUAACAUCAACUUAAACUAUUAAUUGUAAGCUACAAGAGUGGUAGGAGUUUCAACAGUUGAUGGCUAGGAAAUUUAUUACAAUUUUGCAGUGGGCAUGGAAGAUAUUGGGUAUAGGUGAAUCAGAGUAAUUUCAGGCUCAGGUUACUCUAAAAAUGCCUACCACGUGACACUUAAUACAUCACGCCAAAUUCCUCUAACCCCCGCACACAGAAACGAGCAUUGUUAACAGUCAGUGAAAAGUGAGCUUGCCUGGAUCCACAGAAAACUCAAAUCCUAUUCUAAGUCAGUGAUUCUUCUGAAGUGUGGUCCUUAGAGCAGCAGUAGCAAUAUCAUCUGGGAACUUGUUAGAAGUUCCCAGAAUCACCUGGGAACUCAGGCUGCACCUGGGACUUUUCGAAUCAGAGAAUCUGGGGUGGGCGCAACAAUCACCUCCAGAUGAUUCUGGUGCAUGCUAGAGUUUGAGAACUACCAUCUUGGGAAUGUGAGAAGGAGCCAAACAGAAAGCAAGAAUACGAUUCAGCGUUUCCAACGGAGACUGUGUCUGGGGUGUAGUCCUUCAAGAUUCUAAAAUGGAAUCCUGAGGUAUUUAUCACGAUCCCUCUUCGUUGGCAAGUCAAAGCUCCAGUUUUGAUCUCUUAAGCUAGCUUCCUUUUUAUCAAGGGUCAGAUUUGGAAAUCUGGCCCCAAAUUUUUUAUAGGUCAGGUCCAGACAGGGGGAGAAAGAAGAAAUUUAAGCUCUUUUCUGGCUAAUUGGUGUAGGAAGAGAAAGAGAGCUGGAGAGGUGGAAGCAAGGGAAGCUAUAGUAGUUUCUUCCAAUUUCCCCUGUCUGUCUUAGGGCAGCCUUGAGAACAAGGGUCUCUUGCCCACUCCUUAUGUAGGAGUCUGACUAAAACGGCACCUUGCAAGGGCAUUGUCACUGCAAAGUUAUCUUGGAAGUGUGGUGUUUCUAGAAAGAGAGAAAUCCUGAGGUACAUAUUUCCCUCACAGCCCCUUGCUUCCCUAUAUCCUUUAUGGGACUCCAAAGUAGGCGAGGAGCUUGUCAGUAGGGAGUAGUAUUCAUGGCAAAGAAUACU